AGUGAACGCUGGCGGCAGGCCUAACACAUGCAAGUCGAACGGCAACACAAUGAGCGCUCGCUCCUAAGGGUGGCGAGUGACGGACGGGUGACGAAUACAUCGGAUUCUACUUUUACGUGGGUGAUAACGUGGGGCAACUUACGCUAAUACAGCAUACAACCUACGGGUGAAAGCAGUGGAUCUUCGGACCUUGCGCGAUUGAAUGAGCCGAUGUCGGAUUAGCUAGUUGGCGGGGUAAAGGCCCACCAAGGCGACGAUCCGUAGCUGGUCUGAGAGGAUGAUCAGCCACACUGGAACUGAGACACGGUCCAGACUCCUACGGGAGGCAGCAGUGGGGAAUAUUGGACAAUGGGCGCAAGCCUGACCCAGCCAUGCCGCGUGGGUGAAGAAGGCCUUCGGGUUGUAAAGCCCUUUUGUUGGGAAAGAAAAGCAGCAGGUUAAUACCCCGCUGUUCUGACGGUACCCAAAGAAUAAGCACCGGCUAACUUCGUG
This 492-nucleotide ribosomal RNA is filed under the name uncultured bacterium. Its description in RNAcentral is "partial 16S ribosomal RNA". It matches the Rfam family "Bacterial small subunit ribosomal RNA", at positions 29 to 507 of the family's 1533-position model. The record is from RNAcentral.